This 2959-nucleotide long non-coding RNA is filed under the name Sus scrofa (pig). RNAcentral describes it as "lncRNA (ENSSSCG00030062090.1)". Lineage: Eukaryota; Metazoa; Chordata; Mammalia; Artiodactyla; Suidae. The record is from RNAcentral.
CUGUGUGCUUUGCAGGACAGCAGCCAGAUGUGACCGAAAGACCUUUGUGGCCAUGUGCACAAAUUAUUUCAAAUGCCUAAAAUUCCACUCCCUGGAAUAGCUCCUUGGCCAAGCCUACUUCUCUGCUGGGAUCUUCCUGCCCCUCAUGCUGCCUGCCACUGGCUCCUUCCCGUGCCUGGUUGUCCCCUCCCAUCCUCUGGGGGUGUAGACUUCCUGCUGUUGGGUGUAUCCAGUCCACUUGGGUGUACCCAGUCCAGAGAUCAGCCCAUGCCUCAGACCAGAAUCCCUGCAGCUUGGCUGCUGCUGCAGAUGAACCAGAACUGAAUUUCGGAGAGAAAGUCCACUCCUCUGUAGUUUCUGGUUCUCUUUUUCCAGUGGUGGUACAAUGAACUUGAUCUAAAAUGAUCGCCUUCGCCGUUUUGGAAGAAGUGUAGUGUAUGGUUCCGUGGCAUUAAAUACACUCAUAUUGCUGGGAAACUUACCAUCUCCAGAGCUCUUUCCAUGUUGCAAACCUGAAACUUUGUAGCCAUUUAACAGUCACUCCCCCAGCCCCUAGCAACCACCAUUCUACUUUCCAAGACUUUCCCUACUCUAGGUAUCUCCUAAAAGUGGAACCACAUUUUUCCUUUUGUGAUGGAGUUAGUUCACUCAACAUAAUGUCUUGAAGGUUCCUCCAGGCUGAACCUGUAACAGGAUUUCCUUCCUUUUUAAGGCUGAAUAAUAAUCCAUUGUGAAUGGAGACCACAUGUUGUGUAUCUGCUCUUCUGUUGGUAGACCCAUGGGCUGCUCCCAGGUCUUGGCUGAAAUGAAUAAUCUUCCCAUGCACACGAUGUACAAAAACCUCUUUGAGUCCCAGCUUUCAAUUCCACUGAGUAUACACCAUAAAGUCGAAUUGUUGGAUCAUGUAGUAAUUCUAUUUUUAACUUUUUUUUUUUCUUUUAUGGUUGCAGCCAUGGCAUAUAGAAGUUCCCAGACCAGGGAUUGAACCGAGCCUCCAUAGUGACCCCAGCUGCUGCAGUUGGAUUCUUACCAACUGUGCCACAGUGGGAACUCCUAUUUUUAACUUUUUAAUGAGAAACCGCCACACUCUUUUCUUAGCAGCUGCAUCAUAUAUUCUGCAAUUUUUAAGAUGUUCCUGGGUGUUUGCGAUGAGAACGAGAAGGUGAAAGACUAGUGCUGGACUGAUUAGAACUGUCUCCAAUCCACUGAGUCAAUGAAUGGUGACUGCUACUGAAAGCUGUUUUGUUUUUUACAAAACAGUAAAACAGUGGUGUUUUCUCAGUUAGUUCUGGUUAUUCUGAUAAAUGGAUAGGUACUGCGAUGCUCUGCAAAUGGUCCAUGUUAGUAUUUAUAGUUUAAUAUGAAGAUAAUAUUUUAACCAAAAAGGAAUGAAAAGGGCAGACCAGGAUUUGGAGAAUUUAAAAAUGAACUUUUUAAUUUUAAUUUUUUGCUUUUUAGGGCCGCACCCGCGGCAUAUGGAGCGGCCCUAGAAAAGGCAAAAAGACAAUAAAUAAAUAAAUAAAUAAAUUGAACCUUUUAAAAAAAUAAAAACAAAAAAUAAAAAAUAAAUAAAAAAAAAUAAAAACAGCACAGCCAGCCUAACAUCUAAAUUCUUAAUUGUACACAAUAGACUAAGGACAAAGUAAUCAGCAUCAGGCAUACAAUUUAUACAAUUUAUAUCAGUGAUUAGCCAUUCUAUGUCUGAUUUACAGCUUUGGGGUAGAUGGGUACCAAUUUAUUUUUCCUCUACAGAGCUCCAUGCAUGAAGUAUAAUUACAAAUUUGUUUGCAUUUUCUGUGGUGUGGAAUUAAAAUCAUAACCUUUUUGAAGACUUGGGAUAGGUUGCUUUCUUAUCCUUUAUUCUUUCCUCAAAACAAAAAUGGAUGCCAAAUAAAGUGUCUUAUUAUAUGCAAAAUAAGCCCCCUGGUUCCAGUCACCUAACUCUUGGCACUGAUGAAACCAGUUAUAAGAUGAUAGUCAUCCCAAAAAAUCUGGAGUUUUAUAUGCUUAAUUAUGUCAACUUUCCAUUGUGCCGCAUUGAUGUAUCAUUAAUAUGGGCUUUAGUUAACAUUCAGAAAAAUUUCCCUGUAUGUACACUUUGCAAAGCCAAACACAUGAAUUUUCUUGCAGGCAAAUUGUUUUCAGUAAAUGCCAAGAGACUUAAAGUGCUUAAGCAAAGACCGAUGGCUUUAAUGCUGGCUUGAGAAAAUUAUGGUUUGGGAUUAAGCCCCCAUGCCAUCCGUUCAGGCCUCUUUGCUGGGGUCUUGGCCAAGUGCAGUGCUAAGGCUAAGCCGAGUUCCUCCCAGCUCCACUCCCCCGUGCAUUCUCAUGCCCUCCCCAGGCCUGCUCCAGCCCUGGCGCGCCUCCCACCUCCCGCUCUAGCGCAUGUACCAGUACACUCAGCUUCUAUCUGAAGCUGUCUCCUAUGGACAUUGGCUAGUCAGUCAGCUUCACAUCCUACCUCUCCACCUCCACUGAGCGUUUCAGGACGAAAAGCAAACCCAGGAAUAUGUUUUUCUGUCACACCCUUGUUUUACUAUCUCCUCUCACCUAUUCCCGCCCAUCCCCAUACACACAUACAACUCAGUGCUGGAACUGGACAGAAAAGUGGGGGAGAAAAAAGAUCAAGAGUGUUGAGUAACAGGAAAGCUAGAAAGCGGGUUUUUUUCAGGGUUGUAAAUAUACUUUUAAUGAAGACAUAGACAGGUAAAAAAACAAUUUGUCGGGAAAGAGGGCGAAAGGUGAAAACAUGACCACAGCCCCACCAUCCGGGCUCCCCUAAUCACAGAAGCAUCAGAGACGGCUUCCUCCUGCCUUCUGUCUAUGCCUCAAUUCAUCUCUUUGCUGUGAUUGUAUUUUCCGAGCUCUGUUCAGAUACUAUACCAAUAUCUUCCUAUGUCUCUCAUCUGCCUUUAGACUCUCCUCUCAAAGCUGGUCUUCUGCUGCCUCUUCCUGCAGG